AGGUAUGUCUGUGUAAUCUGUAGAGGACAGUGUCUGAAGAAGUGGGCUGCUGGAGAUCAAAACCACAUCAUCCAUGUGUCUGAACUGAGAUAUGAUGUGAAGCGCAAACAUACUUCUCCUCCUUAAUACAUUCCUGUGCAUGCCAUUUCCAUUUAAGAAGGAAGCUGGCAAAGGAUUGUUAAGGACUACUGAGCCUGCAUAAAGGGUGCUAAUGGUGGAAGCCAUCCAAAGCAGGGACGGUCCUGUCUCUCAGGAGCUUGUCCUUCUGAGUGCCAAGGGACUCUUUCUUGCAGAAUCUAUCCAGCCUUUUGGAAGAUACCUGUCAAAGAAGCUAUUCCCAGAACCCACUUUGAGAUUGCAGUUCAUAAGGAGCUCUUUUGUUCUCUUCAAAAGGAAAUUUAAAUAUCUGUGCAGUACAGUCAGGGGACUAGUUCAGUAGUCUUGAGGGAAGCUGAGUUAUUUGACAGUGCAAAUGUAUCCAUUAAGAAUUACAUUUAGGAUUACUUGGAAAUCCAGUUUUCAUGUUACACGCUGAGGACAUCUUAAUUCAAACUGAUGGUUAAUCUUCCAUCAAAAUAUUGUAUCACACUAUGAGAAAUCAAUGUAAAAGGGUUUUUUUGUAGCAUAAUAUGUAACCUGAGAAUUUUUGAAGUUCUGGCUAGUGCAUGAUUCUGAUUAAUAGAUCUCAACUGGCUUAUUGUAACAAAAUAUAUUAAUAAUAAAGACUGU
Long non-coding RNA from Pogoniulus pusillus (Red-fronted tinkerbird), 729 nucleotides. RefSeq lists it as uncharacterized. NCBI's taxonomy places the organism in Eukaryota, Metazoa, Chordata, Aves, Piciformes, Lybiidae. The record is from RefSeq and is a predicted model, not a curated record. The transcript has 3 exons.